GACGAUCGCUGGCGGCGUGCUUAACACAUGCAAGUCGAGCGGUAAGGCCUUUCGGGGUCCACGAGCGGCGAACGGGUGAGUAACACGUGGGUGAUCUGCCCUGCACUUCGGGAUAAGCCUGGGAAACUGGGUCUAAUACCGGAUAUGACCUCCUAUCGCAUGGUGGGUGGUGGAAAGAUUUAUCGGUGCAGGAUGGGCCCGCGGCCUAUCAGCUUGUUGGUGGGGUAAUGGCCUACCAAGGCGACGACGGGUAGCCGACCUGAGAGGGUGACCGGCCACACUGGGACUGAGACACGGCCCAGACUCCUACGGGAGGCAGCAGUGGGGAAUAUUGCACAAUGGGCGAAAGCCUGAUGCAGCGACGCCGCGUGAGGGAUGACGGCCUUCGGGUUGCAAACCUCUUUCAGCAGGGACGAAGCGCAAGUGACGGUACCUGCAGAAGAAGCACCGGCUAACUACGUG
This 462-nucleotide ribosomal RNA is filed under the name uncultured bacterium. RNAcentral describes it as "partial 16S ribosomal RNA". It matches the Rfam family "Bacterial small subunit ribosomal RNA", at positions 28 to 507 of the family's 1533-position model. The record is from RNAcentral.